CCCGCAGACCGCCUUAUCGUCGUUUUGAGUAAUCAAAAGGGAGGAAAGUCCGGACACCAAAGAGUAGCAUAGCGGGUAACGCCCGUCGGGUUAAGAAAUUAAUUCAGGACCAGUGCAACAGAAAGUAUGUACAGAUAAUGCUGUAGUGAAACCAGGUAAACUCUAUGCGGUGAAAUGUCAAGUAUAUCAGCAUUCGUUAGGUCGAAAAAGGGCUACUCGCCUUUGUUGAAGGGUAGGCAGAUAAAGCCAGCGAGCAAUUGUUGGUUUAGAUAAAUGAUAGGGGUUUUGAGCAAUCAAAAUACAGAAUCCGGCUUACAGGUCUGCAUUUUUU
Molecule: RNase P RNA, 331 nt
Filed under: Flavobacterium sp.
Lineage: Bacteria; Pseudomonadati; Bacteroidota; Flavobacteriia; Flavobacteriales; Flavobacteriaceae
Description: RNase P RNA component class A
Rfam family: Bacterial RNase P class A
About the family: Ribonuclease P (RNase P) is a ubiquitous endoribonuclease, found in archaea, bacteria and eukarya as well as chloroplasts and mitochondria.
Source: RNAcentral